Molecule: ribosomal RNA, 297 nt
Filed under: Oryza officinalis
Lineage: Eukaryota; Viridiplantae; Streptophyta; Magnoliopsida; Poales; Poaceae
Source: RNAcentral
GGAUGCAAUCAUACCAGCACUAAAGCACCGGAUCCCAUCAGAACUCCGAAGUUAAGCUUGCUUGGGCGAGAGUAGUACUAGGAUGGGUGACCUCCUGGGAAGUCCUCGUGUUGCAUCCCUUCUUUUUGCCGUCCAUCGCCGCGGCGUCGGUUGUAACGUAAAGAGUCACGUGGCUGCGCCUACGUCGGCCCCGCGUUUCUCUCGCGGCACGCUACACCUCCUUGCGGGGCCUAUAAAAGCGGCAAACGGUGCGCCGGCCUGCGCGAGCACAAGAGUGGCGGGGGCGCAAGGCAUGUC